Molecule: long non-coding RNA, 638 nt
Organism: Hirundo rustica (Barn swallow)
Lineage: Eukaryota; Metazoa; Chordata; Aves; Passeriformes; Hirundinidae
Exons: 3
Source: RefSeq, a predicted model, not a curated record
CCGGAUGCUGUUAUAGUGAAGAUGUUGAGCAUGGCCUACAGACCCUUUGGCACCAAUUGGAGAUGGGGUUUUUUUGGGUACUGCUGAGGUUUAGAAGGCUCAUCAAUGACCCCACAAUCCUUGAUAUAAUGUAAAACGCAAGAGAUGGAAAAGCUAUGUAAAAAUUCAAGAUUACCACUGCAAGGUUUCAGCAGAUCACAAGAUCCCUGAGUUUUGUACCAGCCUGAGGGAUGGUCUGAAGAGGCAGCGAGGUAGCGGCAGCACACCAGCAGACGAGGCAUUCAGAGCUGUAAAGCAAGUGGUGCCCAUCGUCCCCAUGUAUUACUGAAUCAAAAGGAGCAAGGAACUUCACAAACCUACAGCCAGCCUGAACCAUUGCUCCACAGAAGUUUUUAAUUCAAGCACAGAAGACAAAAGAUACCUUUUCCCGAAAUCCUAGGAAACAUUCUCUAUCUUGGCUAGCAAGAUAAGCAUAAAUAUUGCUGAUAGCUCUCCAAGCUGUUACACUGGCCUGGUUACACCUGAGCUGGGCUUCGGAAGUUUUAUCAGAUGUGUCAUGUAGCAACUUGCUUCCACUGAGCGUGGCAUAACAAGGAAGCUGAAGCUUAGGAGGAAGACUGUUCCAACACAUCUAGGAU